Molecule: long non-coding RNA, 805 nt
Organism: Neofelis nebulosa (Clouded leopard)
Lineage: Eukaryota; Metazoa; Chordata; Mammalia; Carnivora; Felidae
Exons: 2
Source: RefSeq, a predicted model, not a curated record
GGCCGGGUCCAGGCGAGGCUGGCGGGGAGAGCAAUGGAGUGCCGAGGCCCGCGGCGGGGCCGGAACCACACCCCAGGGCGGAGUUGGCGGCGGACAAGGCCUUGGGGCACGCCCACGAUUUGGGGGUUCCUGUCGCAGGAGAAAGUGGAGUCUAGGCUUCUGAAACACGUUAGGAGUUACCAUCGCUCUGCCCAGACCAACACUUGUCCCAAUGAUUUUAGGAUUAAAACUCAUAAACCAAAGAUUCUUAAGGCGUAGCUUCCGGAGCAGCAGCAGCAGCACCGGGGAACUUGCUAGGAAUUCUGAUUCUCUACCCCACCCUGGGAGCGAGAGGGAUUCCGCAAGUCUGUACUUUAACAAAGCUGUUAAACACCGUGAGAACCACUGACCCAAGCUAACCUGGACAGGAGUGUCUAAGAGUCAAGCAUCGUUAGAUGUUCCUUGUUUCGAAAAAUAAUUUAUUUGAAGUGCUAAUAAAUGUGAUUCCUUGACACUUUCUCGUGAUUGAAGGCAGCGAACUGUUCAGUUAUGAGACAGAGCUCGAGUGGGGGACAGGCAGAGAGAGAGGGAGACACAGAGUCCGAAGUAGGCUCAGGCUCUGAGCUGUCAGCCCAGAGCUGACGUGAGGCUGGAACCCACCAACCUAAGCCGAAGUCGGAGGCUUUACCAACUGAGCCACCCAGGUGCCCCUACCUAAAAAUAUUUUAUGAAACCAUGUAUAUACUUUCACACAUUUUGAUGUUGACAUCUAAAAUUUUUAUCUUGACUUAAAAGGAUUAAAUUUUCAGUGUAUUGUAAAUAUUCA